Crotalus tigris (Tiger rattlesnake) is the source of this 3927-nucleotide long non-coding RNA. RefSeq lists it as uncharacterized. The transcript has 4 exons. NCBI's taxonomy places the organism in Eukaryota, Metazoa, Chordata, Lepidosauria, Squamata, Viperidae. The record is from RefSeq and is a predicted model, not a curated record.
UGUAUUCUUCAGAUGCAAGGCAUAAUUUAAAAACACAUUUCUGAGCCACAGCUUGAUCCGUUUUACCUUUUGUAUUCUUAGAAAGUUAAGCUACUCCUAAUUUUAUAAAGUAACUUAAGAACAAGUAACGAAAAUAUUUAUAUAAAUGUUUUCCUUGAAAUAGAUCAGAUCCAUCUGACAAAUAUUGCGGAUGUUUUCAUGCCGCACAUUCCAUCGGACAAGCAUCUGUAUUUUUGUACCACGGGUGUGUAAAAUUCCAUAACUUUCAAUUGGUUUACAAGAAUACCAUCUGUUGGGGUCACAUAAGGACCCAUUAUAUCAUGUUUAAUGCAGCUUUACAACACGCGAAUUGCUGGUAAGACUCCGCAGGAGAACACAACCCACCGCCCUUCUUCAGUUGGGGACGGGGCCAGGGCUUUCAUGUGAUUUUUCCCGGCAGAACUACAAGUUCCAUCACCCCUUGGGGGAGGGAGGGCUCAUGACGUCUCGCUUGUCGCUAGCGGGCGUUAACCGUUAACGUGUAUUAACGGUUCCCUUCUUUCCACCUGUGGUCGAAUGCUUUUGCCGCCGCUAUCUUCGGUUCGCGUGCUCGCUGAGAUGGUGUCCUCCCCUUACACUCGUUAGACUUUGGCACGGGGCGGAUGAGCCGCCGAAGAAUGGCAGGCUGGGGGAGGGGGAAGUCUUGGCAACGCGGAGUUCAACGCCAGACCUGAUAGGGCAAAAGUCGCGGUUUACUUGAGAAGCAGGAAGGGAGAGGCCGGCGGAGCAAUGUGGACGCAGAUUAGACUGCAUUGCGCAGACAGGCCGAUAGCGCAGCGGAAUCUCGGUGGGGGAGGUAUCCCUGCGCAGCCGCAAUUAGCUUUCUACCCUUUGCUAGUCCUGGACAGAGUUGCGGUUUGAGCCGAGGGACAGGUUCUUCUGGUGUAGGUCUUCAGCAUCCUUCUUGUAUGGUGCCGACCAGAAUUGGACAUAACAUUUGUGGUGUGGCCUGACCAAUGCAACAUAGAGUGGAACAUAAUCAGAACACUAUACAACUUUUGAUACAGCCCAAGAUUGCAUUUGAUCUUUUGGCAACUGCAUUGGACAAUGGAUCAUAUUCUUCUAACAAAGACUGGGGCCAAGCCACAUACCACCGGUCUUGUACUUGUGUAUCUGAUUAUUCUUACCUAAAGUCAAAAUCCAAUAUUUCUCCUCAUUGAAGUGCAUUUUGUUAGAAAGAGCCAAAUGUUGAAGUCUCAAGAAUUUGUUUGAAACCUGAUACCGUCUUUUGAAACGCUAGCAAUUUCAAAGACAUACCCAUCUGACAGAAGAAGAAAAUGGGAAUGAGAAACAGCUGGGGUAUGAAAGAUCAGUGAAAGCAUAGGUUGUGAAUAAGUUAGCAAAAGUUAUGAACCAUAAGAAUCCAUAAGCACUGACCCAGAUGUCAGAAGAAAAUAAAAGAACAAUGAACUGCAGAGUGAAUCAAAAACUGAACAUAAAAUAUGCACUGAUAACUAAAUAUGAGGAAAAGAUUGAUAAAAGCUGUAAAUUGAUUAAGCUGUAAAUAUCUCAAUGAUAGUAAGAAAUUACUCCAUCAUUGUUGAAAAAAAGACUUACAUGAAUGUUUCAUGUAUCCACAAACUUGGUUGACAUUGCAAUUCUUCAGCUUAAUAUACCUUGUAUUCUUGAAAAUCAUUAAAGAUUUUUCCCCAAUCUAGUAUCCCUUCAGUACCAGGUUAUCAGUGUCCAUGAGGCAAGGAAUAAUGAGAAGUUAACAUAUCUAAAGAGGCACCAUCUCACCAGUUUCUAGUCUUUUACUUUCGCUAUACUACCCAAAUGAACUAAAACAGAAGAUAUUUAAUUGACUUUAUUUUUUCAGUUCCAUGGUACUUAGUUUUUAAUGGUUUGAAUUAAGAGAUUACUAUUAGAACAACCUCUGUAAGCAAGAUUUUAUAAUGUGUUAAACAUUAAUCUUGAUUGUGUUCCUUUUCCAGCAAAUUCCAACAAAUUAAGCAUGAUCCAAUUGUUUGAAUUAAGAGAUUACUGUUAGAACAACCUCUGUAAGCAAGAUUUUAUAACACGUUAAACCUUAAUCUUGAUUGUGUUUCAUCCACUUUUCCAGCAAAUUCCAACAGAUUAAGCAUGAUCCAUUGUCCAAAUAGAAGAUAGCCAGAAUCAAAUCAAACUAUGAAUGAUUCUGGUUUAGAAGAGUUUUGCUCCCAGAUCCAACCUGUUAGUGAAACAGAAAUGAGUGGUGAUUUUCCUGUUAAGAUUUGUCCUUCUGUUUUUGGGAGAGAAAUAGACAUGCUUAAAUUUCUGACUUUCUUUCUACUUUAGGAAGUUACAAUUGGGGAUGUUAUCUCUUCAUCCUUCUGUGACUAGAAUUUUAAUCUUUAGCAGCAAGUUAUCUUUGAAUACAUCAAAAAUAGAUUAUAGUUCUUAUACAAAUCCAGUUCUUUUGUAUUAUUCUAUUGCAAAAUAAACAGUGGUAAAGAUAGGUUAAUACAGUUUUACAGUUAGUAAAAUAUUAUUUUAAUGUGACAAAGCAUUAAAACAAUGAAAUAUCCGUAUAAUACUGUUUUAAAAUAUUUAAUACUUUUCAGACUCUACUAAAAACAAUCCAGGGAAGAAAUUUGAUUGUAUAAAAAAGCAAAUAAUAUUUUCAAGACAUUACUUUGGGGUGGUAUGCAGCAAGUAAUACCACUAGGUGCUGUUCAAAAACAAAAGAAGUAAUUCAUUGUUUUUGCUAUUGUGAUGCUUUUGGGAAAUUAUGGGCCUGGCUAUUACUAUUUCUAUGAAGGAGAUGGGUGGUUAAGAAAUUUGAUAAAGAAGGUAAUAGCAAAAGAAGCUCAGUGAGAUAAGCCUAUACAGUCAUAGAAAGAUGCUGUUUAUUUUUGUCCAUUGGCUUUCUUUUGCUUGGGUAAAUUUUCUCUGGGGAAUUUAGAUGUAGGAGCUUAGAAAAUUUUCAAAAGCUAUGCAGCAAAAAAGAGUGCACAACAGCCCUCUAUCCAGAUAUUUUGGACUUAAUAUGCCCCAGCAAGGAGGUCACUGAUAAAGUGACGUCAGUUGUUGCCCAAAAUUUCUGCUAGUACCAAAUUGCUUAUUCUUCUCCCAUUUUUUUUCUUUUAUUUGUAUAUUGUACCUUGUGUUUUUGCUUUCUGUACUGGGUAUGUUUCAUAUUGUAUUUUUUUUUCUAUGGAAGCUGUUGAUAGUUGUUUUUUUGGAGUGGCACAGAAAUAUGUUUAAUGAACAAGUAGGGACUAACAUAUUUUGUUUGAGGCUACAGGUUAAGAUGAAGUAUCUUUUGUAAGGAGGAGAAGCCAUAUAUGGAAACAGAAUGUAUUUUGAUAUAUUCAAAAUAGCAGGAAACUAUUUGGAUGAAUAAAUAGCAGGAAGCUAUUUGGACCUUAUUAAAAUAACAUUUUACAUAUUUUUAUUCUGUAAAAAAGUUAUCAUACAAAAUUUGGUAGUACAUAUCAAAUCAGUUUUGAAUGCAACUGACUGUAUUGUUUAACAAUAUAUAGGUAUCAGAAGCUCGAAGAUACCAUUUUAUUGAAAUGAACAAAAUAAGGAACAAUUCCACUCACAAAUGGUACUGGAAACAAUGUAUUUUGAUAUAUUUUUGUUUCAUUCUGAAUAUGGUCAAUUUUUGUGAUUCUGAACACUGUAAACAAACUUCAUCCUUUAAUACAGGGGUCCCAACCCCUGGUCUACGGCCUGCUACUAGGCUGAGGCCCGGCUGGAACCGGGCCAGUCAAGUAGCAGGCAAGCAUGCAAAGCUCCAUUUUUGUAAAGGGUGGGUGGGUGGGCGAAACCAUCCCCCCCUGCUGCCGCCACUGUUGCUGGUCCACAAAGCCAAAAAGGUUGGGGAAUGCUGCUUUAAUAAAUCUGUUUGAAUGUUAAGUUGAUAAAACAAUAAUACUGAAAAUAAACAAAUAAAUAAACAAA